This is a non-coding RNA of Picea glauca (white spruce), 127 nucleotides long. NCBI's taxonomy places the organism in Eukaryota, Viridiplantae, Streptophyta, Pinopsida, Pinales, Pinaceae. The record is from Rfam.
UUAUGUACAUGCCUACAACAUAUCUUUAAUGGAGAAGAUCCAAUUAGAACUCUGCAGUUAAGUGCUCUUAGGCUAGAGUAGUAUUGGGAUGGGUGGUCGCCUGGGAAGUCCUAGUGUUUUACAUGCC